GGUUGUAGCUCAGUGGUAGAGUGUUUGCAUUGCAGGCAGGAGGCACUGGGUUCAAUCCUCAGCACCA
This 67-nucleotide transfer RNA is filed under the name Marmota monax (woodchuck). RNAcentral's name for it is "tRNA.Ala". It matches the Rfam family "tRNA". From Rfam's summary of the family: Transfer RNA (tRNA) molecules are approximately 80 nucleotides in length. Lineage: Eukaryota; Metazoa; Chordata; Mammalia; Rodentia; Sciuridae. The record is from RNAcentral.